UACGGAAGGCAGCAGUGGGGAAUAUUGCACAAUGGGCGCAAGCCUGAUGCAGCCAUGCCGCGUGUAUGAAGAAGGCCUUCGGGUUGUAAAGUACUUUCAGUCGUGAGGAAGGUGUUAAGGUUAAUAACCUUAGCAAUUGACGUUAGCGACAGAAGAAGCACCGGCUAACUCCGUGCCAGCAGCCGCGGUAAUACGGAGGGUGCGAGCGUUAAUCGGAAUUACUGGGCGUAAAGGGCACGCAGGCGGUUAAUUAAGUUGGAUGUGAAAUCCCCGGGCUUAACCUGGGAAUGGCAUUCAAGACUGGUUAGCUAGAGUCUUGUAGAGGGGGUAGAAUUCCGAUGUGUAGCGGUGAAAUGCGUAGAGAUGUGGAGGAAUACCGGUGGCGAAGGCGGCCCCUGGACAAAGACUGACGCUCAUGUGCGAAAGCGUGGGGAGCAAA
This 439-nucleotide ribosomal RNA is filed under the name uncultured bacterium. Its description in RNAcentral is "bacterial SSU rRNA". It matches the Rfam family "Bacterial small subunit ribosomal RNA", at positions 340 to 772 of the family's 1533-position model. The record is from RNAcentral.